This is a non-coding RNA of Danio rerio (zebrafish), 117 nucleotides long. The record is from Rfam. NCBI's taxonomy places the organism in Eukaryota, Metazoa, Chordata, Actinopteri, Cypriniformes, Danionidae.
UACCAAAGCCAUAUCACCCUGCAGCCCAAGACCGGUUACUCACUAAAGCUAAGCAGGGCUGAGCCUGGUUAGUAUCUGGAUGGGAGACCACUAGGGAACACUAGGUUGCUGUUGGAA